CCCCCCCCCCCCCCCCCCCCCAGCACUACACCUGUGACACCUGUGACAACAGCUUCUGGAAACAGAAAUACAGAUCACCAACCCGAGGAUGAUGUUGGGGCGCGGUGACUCAAGACCUGAAAAACAAAACAUUUGUGCAGAGUUCAGAAUUUAACGUCGGCCUUUAUUCUCCAGACGUAAACCCUGUCAAGGGCAGUGAUGGGGCACGUUUCAAUAGGAAGGAGGAAGAAACUCACUGGCAAAACACAAUCGAGUGUUUGAACAGCUUAUUGCAAACAAAAGACCCCGGGGCACACCGUCGCCUCCGCCGUCCAGCCCCCAUGUCACAGCCACAGAACCCAGGGCCCAGUUCAUGAGUCAAGUCAUCCCAAUGAGCGGAGCCUACGUUACAGAUUUAAAGAUCAGACGUAAUUAAAAGCAAUGGCAUGACGGAGGAGGCCGGCGAGGCCAGUGUGCAAACGUCAGCAUCUGCUGACCUGUAAGAAACGAAGCAUGUACGCACCAGAAUUUUUUUUUUUUUUUUAAACAAAAUCUUAGCUUUGUUCUUUUACUUGCCUCUCACUACACAUCAGAAAGGUAACAGCCCUUCCUGGAACUCACGCACUGCGCUACGUAAUUCAAGCUACACGUACGAAUACCGAAGGUUCCACCAGGGAGCAGUUCCACGGCUUGUUUGCAACAAUCCCCUCAGCACGUGCCAUUAGGGAAGGUCACCCAGCUGCUGGCGUCACAGUUACAGUUAAUGGGAAAGACCAAGCUGACUGAAAGGGCUAUGAUAAACACCCUUGUAGGUUUAGAAGGGAAUUCUGUUAACAUCAACAAGGGCCAAGUCCUGCUCAGUCUCUGUGAACACGGGACAGGGUGCUUAAAGACAAGGGCGGGGUGUUCCGUGAAGAGCAGGCUGCAUGGAAAAGUUCCUGGGCACAG
This is a long non-coding RNA of Panthera uncia (snow leopard), 927 nucleotides long. RefSeq lists it as uncharacterized. Lineage: Eukaryota; Metazoa; Chordata; Mammalia; Carnivora; Felidae. The record is from RefSeq and is a predicted model, not a curated record. The transcript is spliced from 2 exons.